CAUCAGUUUUGUAUAUAAGAUGACACUUUAUCCACUGCCAUACACACCUUGUACGGACUUCGACCGAAGCUGUAAAUAGCCGCCCUCUUACCUUUAUACAGACCAAGGCAAUCCUAGAGGUUAACAUGCUGAAAGUACUGAUACUGCUGUCCUGUUUGGUGGCAUCGACCCUGUGUCAAUAUUUUACAAGUGACUUACAUGGCUACCCUGUAGGCGGACCUUAUAUGAAUGGCGGAUUACGCUCUGUAUUAUCAGGGCAUCGCUUCAGUCGCUUUGGAAGAAGAGAUUAUGAAAGCGACCUCGGAUACGGAAACGACUGGCACGGUGAUAGGUGGGAUAAUGACUUUGAAACUGACAUGGACAAUCAAAGAUACCUGAGAGGACUAGGAUACUGAGUAUGAGAAGAAUAAUGAAACCAAAUAUUGCUGCUAUCACAUCCAAUUAAUAGCGUCAUUUUAUAUCAUUUUAAUUUUAUCAAUUUUAUACAUUUUAUGUGUUUUGGAAUACAAAAAUCCACAAAUAUA
Mizuhopecten yessoensis (Yesso scallop) is the source of this 524-nucleotide long non-coding RNA. RefSeq lists it as uncharacterized. NCBI's taxonomy places the organism in Eukaryota, Metazoa, Mollusca, Bivalvia, Pectinida, Pectinidae. The record is from RefSeq and is a predicted model, not a curated record. The transcript has 4 exons.